GUUCAGAAAAGAUAUGUAUACUACAAUAAGCAAUUUCACCUUCGUUUAUAUUGUUACACGAGAUGAAAUGCCCAGUUUGUCAAAAUAAUGGGUCAUCUCUGAAUGUGAAAAGCACAUUUAUUUUGUACUGAAGUACAAAAGAAAACCAGCAUUUCUAGGACUGGGUUCAUCCCAUCCUGACACGGUCCUCUGAAAAAGGACCUUCUUCAGACGAGUUGUAACCACCAGAGCACAGAACUGAAUCUCCCUGGGUGUCUUCCAAUGCCAGGUUGUAUAAAAUUAAAUUUAGAUAUCUAAGUGUAGGAAAGUAAUUAGAACACCGAAACAUGUAUUUUAGCGCCAUGGUGAGUGGAGAACAGGGGAGCAGGAGCUGCUGCCCAGUGGAGAGCUGUGCCCGAGUACUGCCAAGGUAAAGGGCUGUUGGCUGCCCCUGCUUCCUGACUUGCCCCUCUCCUGGCCACAAGGCAGAUGUGGGGACUGAGCAUAAAACAAGCAUAAAACCACAUAAAAGGCAUAAAACCACUAUGGGCUAUGACUUUUUAUGACUUUUUAUGAAAUAGUGUCUUUCAACUAUAAACCAGCAUCCGAAAGAAAAUGGCAGCCCUGUGUGCAUAGUGGGAAGGGACUUCCUGUUGUGAGGUACUUCUGGGUAAACUGCAAGGAGCAGCUAGUGCUGCUGGCCAGUGGCAGGGCCUGUGGACACGCAGAGAGUUCUGAUAAGACAAUUACGUAAUCCAGCACAUCAAACUAUGUUCCUGUGCAUCAGGACAAAUGAUAGGCAAACGUGUUCUUACUGACCUGUUUCUUCAACAUAAUUGUCCUUGAGAAGCAAGCAACAAGCUAUUCAGACGGAAUAAGCUCCACAGCACUUCUUCCAUUUUGCAGAAUAUGGAAGUGAAUUGGGCGCAGGUGCCCAAGAUGCUGGCAGGGGGUAACAGGGGUCCUCUGUGGGGGGAAGCCGGGGCUGCCCCAUGCCAGAUACAGCUGGUUCCAGCUGGCUCCAGUGGCCCCACCACAGGGCACGGCUGGGCCCAGCGUACACAGUGGUGGUACCUCAGAAAACCAGCUUGAGGAAGAAUCACAGAAUCACAGAAUGUCCUGAGCUGGAAGGGACCCACAGGGAUCAUCAUGUCCAACUCCUGGCUCCACACAGGACCACCUAAAAAUCAAUUUCUGUGUCUCUGAGCAUUGUCCAAGUGCUUCUUGAACUCCACCAGGCUCAGUACUGUGACCACUUCAGAAGAGGAGGAGAAGGAGGAAAAGCUCCAUGGCAAAACAGAUAUUCCCUGCAGCCCAUGGAGGACCAGUGCUGGAGCACAGGAAAUAAGGAAGGAACACAGAGAGGAACCACUGAGAGCUGACCACAAGCCCUGCACUGCCUGUGGCCUCUCUGAAUGGACUAAGUGUAACCUGCAGUGAUAACAAGAUGGAAAAGGGGAGUCUGGAGUGAAGUCAAGUCUAUGGGAAGGGGAGAAAAGGUGUAUUCAAUGCAUGUGUAAAUGUUUCUUCUUCUUUUUUGUCUGUUUCCUAACACCUGAUUCAGUAAUUAUAUUAAAAGGCAAUAAAUUAAGUUUAUUUUUCCCA
Anser brachyrhynchus (Pink-footed goose) is the source of this 1584-nucleotide long non-coding RNA. The record is from Ensembl. NCBI's taxonomy places the organism in Eukaryota, Metazoa, Chordata, Aves, Anseriformes, Anatidae.